AAACUGUCCAAGAAGGAGAAAGAAGAGAAAGGGGCAGAAAAUUUAUCUGAAGAAAUAAUGGCUGACAACGACCCUAACCUGGGAAAGGAAACAGUCAUUCAGAUCCAGGAAGCCCUGGGAGUUUCAAUAAGAUAAACCAAAG
This is a long non-coding RNA of Aethalodelphis obliquidens (Pacific white-sided dolphin), 142 nucleotides long. RefSeq lists it as uncharacterized. The transcript is spliced from 3 exons. The record is from RefSeq and is a predicted model, not a curated record. Lineage: Eukaryota; Metazoa; Chordata; Mammalia; Artiodactyla; Delphinidae.